GAUGAAGAACGCAGCGAAAUGCGAUAAGUAGUGUGAAUUGCAGAAUUCAGUGAAUCAUCGAAUCUUUGAACGCACAUUGCGCCCCUUGGUAUUCCAUGGGGCAUGCCUGUUCGAGCGUCGUUUGUACCUUCAAGCCUUGCUUGGUGUUGGGUGUUUGUCUCGCCUCUGCGCGCAGACUCGCCUCAAAACAAUUGGCAGCCGGCGUAUUGAUUUCGGAGCGCAGUACAUCUCGCGCUUUGCACUCAGAACGACGACGUCCAAAAGUACAUUUUUACACUCUUGACCUCGGAUCAGGUAGGGAUACCCGCUGAACUUAAGCAUAUCAAUAAGCGGAGGA
Molecule: unclassified non-coding RNA, 337 nt
Filed under: soil metagenome
Description: partial contains 5.8S ribosomal RNA, internal transcribed spacer 2, and large subunit ribosomal RNA
Rfam family: 5.8S ribosomal RNA (bases 1-120)
Source: RNAcentral